GAAAGAUGAAAAGAACUUUGAAAAGAGAGUUAAACAGUACGUGAAAUUGUUGAAAGGGAAACGAUUGAAGUCAGUCGUACCAGCGGGAAAUCAACCUUUCGAGUGGGGGUUUUGGAGUUUUGAAGAGUGUUAAAACCUUUGAGAUUUCAAAAAUUUCGCUCUUUUGGUGUACUUUCUCGUGGGUAGGUUAACAUCGAUUUUGAUCAUCAUAAAAAGAUUGGAGGAAUGUAGCUUCGAUCUUGUAUUGAAGUGUUAUA
This 257-nucleotide ribosomal RNA is filed under the name uncultured Septoglomus. Its description in RNAcentral is "partial large subunit ribosomal RNA". It matches the Rfam family "Eukaryotic large subunit ribosomal RNA", at positions 359 to 565 of the family's 3401-position model. Lineage: Eukaryota; Fungi; Glomeromycota; Glomeromycetes; Glomerales; Glomeraceae. The record is from RNAcentral.